Gambusia affinis (western mosquitofish) is the source of this 892-nucleotide long non-coding RNA. RefSeq lists it as uncharacterized. The transcript is spliced from 3 exons. The record is from RefSeq and is a predicted model, not a curated record. NCBI's taxonomy places the organism in Eukaryota, Metazoa, Chordata, Actinopteri, Cyprinodontiformes, Poeciliidae.
GGCUGAAAGCAAAGCCAAUGCAGAAGUGCCAAAAGCUGCAGUUGAUUUAAUGGCCACUUGAGACCAACUCCAAAAGAGAACCAGUUUGGACCCACUGGAGGUGAUUUAUCCGUCGCACUCCCAUGGGUACCUCUGAAAUAAAUGGAUUAACCACUGAACACUCAAGCCAUGAGAAGAAAAUGGAGUUUUGCAGGUUGCAGCCUGUUCUGGUUACCAGGGUUGACACUGAUUGGCUGAACCACCGAGAGCAGUUUUCUAGCUUAGAUUGUUUCCACUUAAUGCAUAUUGAGGUAUAUUUGGUGUUUGAACUAUUAGAAUAGGCAGUUACGUGUAUUUAGAUGGGGUAUCAAGUAUUGGUAGAUUUCAGCUAUGUGUGGGUGGACGUGACCCUAACAUCUUAUCCCCUGGAUAGAUGGACUACUGGAUGAGGCAGAUAGGUGGGUUGCCAUGUUGGAACCUACUGCUUUGUAUAAUAAUGUGUAUAAAAAACAAACUAACUCUUUUGCUGUUGAGUCGAGUGUGUUCUCCUCUGUUUUACAUUAUACUUUGUGACAAAAAGAUAACUAAUAUUGUAUUACAGAGUCAUAACAGUUUGGUGAACUGACUUUUCUUUCUCCAAUAGUUCCAUGUUUUUAUUUACAGCUUGUUAGGAUAUUAUGCUGCAAAUGUCAGACAUUCACGGUGGAUAUUAAUAAUAUACCUGACCAACUGGAAAGGGAAUGACAUCAUGGAGAGUGAUGGGAUGUGAUGUAAUGAUAAGGAAAGUGUCACUAUGGGUUGACCAUAUUUCAUAUCAUCAUCUGGAUUCUCAACAGAAGUAUAGUAAUUAUUAUUGGGGCCUGCCACAGCAGAGCAUAGGAGAGCAUUGAAAUGCCUUUGUUACCUUUCUGCA